RNAcentral lists this ribosomal RNA (105 nucleotides) under Dactyliosolen fragilissimus. RNAcentral's name for it is "partial Eukaryotic small subunit ribosomal RNA". The record is from RNAcentral. Lineage: Eukaryota; Bacillariophyta; Coscinodiscophyceae; Rhizosoleniales; Rhizosoleniaceae.
UUCUUAUUGGGUAUGUUCGCACGAACAGUCGCAACCAUUUUUGUAUUUCCUUAUCUUCGUGCGAAAGUCAUGCUCCAGAGUGAAUCUAAUAAUUUUCAUGCGAAU